RNAcentral lists this ribosomal RNA (251 nucleotides) under uncultured bacterium. RNAcentral's name for it is "partial 16S ribosomal RNA". It matches the Rfam family "Bacterial small subunit ribosomal RNA", at positions 73 to 339 of the family's 1533-position model. The record is from RNAcentral.
UUGGGGGCAACUCCAAACUAGUGGCAAACGGGUGAGUAAUGCAGAGGAACCUCCCUAACAGUAAGGAAUAAUUUUGGGAAACCAAAACUAAUACCAUAUAUUACCGACCUAGUCGGGAAAGAUACGUCGCUGUUAGAUGGGCCUCUGUCAGAUUAGCUAGUUGGUGAGGUAAAUGCUCACCAAGGCGAUGAUCUGUAGCUGGUCUGAGAGGAUGAUCAGCCACACUGGAACUGAGACACGGUCCAGACUCC